Molecule: ribosomal RNA, 421 nt
Filed under: uncultured bacterium
Lineage: Bacteria
Description: bacterial SSU rRNA
Rfam family: Bacterial small subunit ribosomal RNA
Source: RNAcentral
AUUGAACGCUGGCGGCAUGCUUUACGCAUGCAAGUCGAACGGCAGCACGAGUGCUUGCACUUGGUGGCGAGUGGCGGACGGGUGAGUAAUACAUCGGAACGUGUCCUUAAGUGGGGGAUAACGCAUCGAAAGAUGUGCUAAUACCGCAUAAUAUCUGAGGAAGAAAGUGGGGGAUCGAAAGACCUCAUGCUUUUGGAGCGGCCGAUGUCUGAUUAGCUAGUUGGUGAGGUAAUGGCUUACCAAGGCAACGAUCAGUAGUUGGUCUGAGAGGACGACCAGCCACACUGGGACUGAGACACGGCCCAGACUCCUACGGGAGGCAGCAGUGGGGAAUUUUGGACAAUGGGCGCAAGCCUGAUCCAAGCGGAUGCCGCGUGAGUGAAGAAGGCCUUCAGGGUUGCUCAUACAUCUAUUAUUUAUG